Molecule: ribosomal RNA, 513 nt
Filed under: Staphylococcus epidermidis
Lineage: Bacteria; Bacillati; Bacillota; Bacilli; Caryophanales; Staphylococcaceae
Description: bacterial SSU rRNA
Rfam family: Bacterial small subunit ribosomal RNA
Source: RNAcentral
CGUGCAUAAACAUGCAAGUCGAGCGAUGAAACCAAGCAUUGUGGUGUGGAGUAGUGACCAGCGGACGGGUGACUAAUACGUGGAUUGCCUAUCUAUCUGACUGGGACAAGUUCAGCAGACCCGAACUAAUACCGGAUACUAUCUUGAACCGCAUGGUUCAAUAGUGAAAGACGGUUUUGCUGUCACUUAUAGAUGGAUCCGCGCCGCAUUAGCUAGUUGGUAAGGUAACGGCUUACCAAGGCAACGAUGCGUAGCCGACCUGAGAGGGUGAUCGGCCACACUGGAACUGAGACACGGUCCAGACUCCUACGGGAGGCAGCAGUAGGGAAUCUUCCGCAAUGGGCGAAAGCCUGACGGAGCAACGCCGCGUGAGUGAUGAAGGUCUUCGGAUCGUAAAACUCUGUUAUUAGGGAAGAACAAAUGUGUAAGUAAUUAUGCACGUCUUGACGGUACCUAAUCAGAAAGCCCGGCUAACUACGUGCCGUCAGCCGCGGUAAUACGUCCGUGGCAAGC